RNAcentral lists this ribosomal RNA (468 nucleotides) under uncultured bacterium. RNAcentral describes it as "partial 16S ribosomal RNA". It matches the Rfam family "Bacterial small subunit ribosomal RNA", at positions 28 to 507 of the family's 1533-position model. The record is from RNAcentral.
GACGAACGCUGGCGGCGUGCUUAACACAUGCAAGUCGAACGGAAAGGCCCUGCUUUUGUGGGGUGCUCGAGUGGCGAACGGGUGAGUAACACGUGAGUAACCUGCCCUUGACUUUGGGAUAACUUCAGGAAACUGGGGCUAAUACCGGAUAGGAGCUCCUGCUGCAUGGUGGGGGUUGGAAAGUUUCGGCGGUUGGGGAUGGACUCGCGGCUUAUCAGCUUGUUGGUGGGGUAGUGGCUUACCAAGGCUUUGACGGGUAGCCGGCCUGAGAGGGUGACCGGCCACAUUGGGACUGAGAUACGGCCCAGACUCCUACGGGAGGCAGCAGUGGGGAAUAUUGCACAAUGGGCGGAAGCCUAAUGCAGCAACGCCGCGUGCGGGAUGACGGCCUUCGGGUUGUAAACCGCUUUCGCCUGUGACGAAGCGUGAGUGACGGUAAUGGGUAAAGAAGCACCGGCUAACUACGUG